Non-coding RNA from Paramuricea clavata, 1235 nucleotides. The record is from the annotation of a GenBank genome assembly. Lineage: Eukaryota; Metazoa; Cnidaria; Anthozoa; Malacalcyonacea; Plexauridae.
CCCUGGCGCUUUGAUGUGCUUACUGGUUGCGUGACGCACGCGCGGGAAUCGAGGUGCGUUGCUCACUACGGGACGCGGAAGCGCCUCGCAGAAAACGUGUCGAUUUCUGAAAUUUCUGUCGAUUUCUGAAUUUUCAAAGCCAUUGUUCGAUUUUCUUGAUUAUUUUGCUUUAUUCACGACGGAAUCAUGGACGAGAUCAGUGAAUCUCUUCACAAUAUUUCCUUUGAAGGUAAAUUUGUAUGAAUUUGUCUCAUUAUAUAUUUUAAUAUGAUUUAUUGUCUUGUUGACUGCUAUAAUUUUAUAAUUUUAAUAUUAUGUGAACCAAAUAUUUAUAUGAAAAUCAUUCUGAUCAACGUGUUCGUAGGGUUUUAAGGCUGCGUAUGAUUUCGGAGUCCUUUAUACUGUACACUUAUAUUUAUUUAGUAUUAGUAAAUUUUCCCUGACAAAUUUUGAGUGAUAUCUUUGCCAGGUUCUUUGUAGCAGUUAUUUAUAAUUACUGUGUAGUUGUAUUAUUAAAUUGUCAAUUCAUGACAGACAAGCUCUGACAGACAAGUGAAAAAAAGGUUUUGCCAUGCCAAAGAUAUCAGAUUCAAACCAUUCAAUACCCAUUGCAAUCAAGCAAUUACCAUAAACAUAUAAUCCCACCAUCCAUAUUUACUUGGGCGAUUCCGAAUAUAAGCCACCUCUAAUGUAAGCCCCUUGACAGGUAUUUAUUAAUGCAGCAAGGGCCAGGAAUCCAACAGCUCAGUACAUCAAAAAUGCUUACAAAGUACAGUACAAAGAAAUAUAAGCCCAGGGCUUAUAUUCAGAGGUUUACAAUAUUCAUCUGGCCAAACAUAGUUCUAUAAAUCCCACAGUCAUUAGAGUUGUAGUUCUAAAAGUAUUUGUAGGAAUAAAAGGUGUACAGUACAUGUAUCAGCCACCUUGGCAUUGACCAAAAUUAUGCCCUGACAAUUAAACAAUUUUAAAUUGAUUGAUGACAUGUUUGAAAGCAGCUUCAGUGGUGGUGUCCCCAGUAUUGGAGUAGAGCCCAACAUUUCAGUUAGACAUUAUUUGUGAACCUUAGAUCAGUUGUGAUAUAUUGUAAUGUAAAAUGAAACUUUGGGAGUUAAGAAACACAAUUAAUGCAUUAAUGGACAAGGCUGUCCCCUUGAGAAGUAAAAUUGCCUGCCAUUAGAUGGUCUGAAAGUAAAAUAACAAGCUUGGGUGCAUGGCAGCCUAAUGGGUUAACUUAA